GCGGCCGCCCUGCUGGGCUCCGGGCGCUGCAGCUCCCGGCGGGCGUCUGCAGCCCGCAGGUUCAGGACGACCCGGCUGCCAGGCUCAGCGCCUUGGGAGCUCCGCGCUGAAGGGGCCUUGCUCCGCACAGAGGCUUCGUGACGGAGUUAUCAGAGACAUUGAGAGGCAAAUUCGGAAAAAAGAAAACAUUCGUCUUUUGGGAGAACAGAUUAUUUUGACUGAGCAACUUGAAGCAGAAAGAGAGAAGAUGUUAUCGGCAAAAGGAUCUCAAAAAUCAUGACUUGAAUGUGAAAUAUCUGUUGGACAGACAACACGAGUUUGUGUGUGUGUUGAUGGAGAGUAGCUUAGUAGUAUCUUCAUCUUUUUUUUGAUCACUG
This 377-nucleotide small RNA is filed under the name Pongo abelii (Sumatran orangutan). RNAcentral describes it as "processed transcript". Lineage: Eukaryota; Metazoa; Chordata; Mammalia; Primates; Hominidae. The record is from RNAcentral.